AAGAAGAUGAGGAAGACGAACCUUAUUCUCUUCAAAGAUUGAAACAAGGCCAAAAACCUUGCAACAGCACUACCACCACAACAGAGUCUUAUUAAGUGUUUAAAGAUUCACUCCUCGCUUAAGCAGCUUCAUGAAGAUCCAUAUGACUUGCUGCAUAAUUUAUACAGUCUUAUGUCUUGCUUGUGCAGCUUCACAGAAAGCAGUAGUCAAAGUGGCCGAAACGUGCAUAACUUACUGCAUAACUUAUGCUGUCUAACGCUUCACUUAUGCAGUGUUACAAAAGGAGCACUCAAACUUGUCGACACUUGCACAACCAGCUGCAUAGUUUAUGUAGUCUGCUUAUGCACUUUCACGGAUGACUCUGAAGCAUGAAAAAUUUGCACAACCAGCCUGCAUAACUUGUGCAGAAUCACGGGAAGCACUUGGAACCACUAAAAUUGCCCAGAAUCUGCAUAGAAAGUUUGCACAACUUGUGCAAUUCUUCAUAAUGAGCUAGCAGAAGAAUUUAUUCGCGUGAAUCCCUUCCUCAAACACACCUUUUUAGGGUUAUUUGUUAGAAAAAUAUAAAUAGUGUCCUUAUCUAAUUUUAGCAAGAGGGAGGAAGAGAAGAAGAAAAGGAAAGAGGUAGAGAAAACGUCAGAAAACAGAGUAAGGGGGCAUUACUUCCCAUUUUUGGAUUAGAUUUGGAUUCUUCAUCUUUUCUUCACCAUUUUCUACCUUUCUUUUAUUGGGUUUCUUAGUUGUUAGUAUAUUUUCAAGUUCAAUUUCUAUAUUUACUUAGAAUCUCUUGUAAUAAUUAUGGAUAGUGAGUAGUUUUUCAUAGAUUCUGGAGUUGGGAUAUAAUAUUUAAAAUAUUUUGUGGAUUUUAAUUGGGAAAUCCAUAUUUUGUGGUUUUUAUGAGGUUUUAUCCAUUUCUUUAGUGCCUAAUUACAUGCUUAGUGUAGAAUCCAAUUAAGUAUUAUUCUUAAUCCAUAGUUGAAGCACCGAAAGGAGAAAACCCUGUGAUAGAUAAUCAAGAACU
Molecule: unclassified non-coding RNA, 1021 nt
Filed under: Hevea brasiliensis (rubber tree)
Lineage: Eukaryota; Viridiplantae; Streptophyta; Magnoliopsida; Malpighiales; Euphorbiaceae
Source: RNAcentral